AUACGGAGGAUCCGAGCGUUAUCCGGAUUUAUUGGGUUUAAAGGGUGCGCAGGCGGCCAUUUAAGUCAGCGGUUAAAUCGUGGGGCUCAACCCCAUUCUGCCGUUGAUACUGGGUGGCUUGAUUGCGGUCGAGGUUGGCGGAAUUCGUUGUGUAGCGGUGAAAUGCAUAGAUAUGACGAAGAACACCGAUUGCGUAGGCAGCUGACCAGACCGCAAAUGACGCUCAUGCACGAAAGUGCGGGGAUCGAACAGGAUUAGAUACCCUGGUAGUCCGCACAGUAAACGAUGAAUACUUGUUUUCGGCGAUAUAAUGUCGGAGGCAAAGCGAAAGCGAUCAGUAUUCCACCUGGGGAGUACGCCGGCAACGGUGAAACGCAAAGGAAUUGACGGG
This 391-nucleotide ribosomal RNA is filed under the name uncultured bacterium. RNAcentral describes it as "partial 16S ribosomal RNA". It matches the Rfam family "Bacterial small subunit ribosomal RNA", at positions 523 to 917 of the family's 1533-position model. The record is from RNAcentral.